UGGGGAAUAUUGGGCAAUGGGCGAAAGCCUGACCCAGCGACGCCGCGUGAGGGAAGAAGGUCUUCGGAUUGUAAACCUUUGUUGACAGGUACGAAAGAUGACGGUACCUGUCGAGGAAGCCACGGCUAACUACGUGCCAGCAGCCGCGGUAAUACGUAGGUGGCGAGCGUUAUCCGGAUUUACUGGGUGUAAAGGGUGUGUAGGCGGAGAUGCAAGUCAGGUGUGAAAAUUAUGGGCUCAACCCAUAACCUGCGCCUGAAACUGUGUCCCUUGAGAGUCGGAGGGGUAAACGGAAUUCCUGGUGUAGCGGUGAAAUGCGUAGAUAUCAGGAGGAACACCGGUGGCGAAGGCGGUUUACUGGACGACAACUGACGCUGAGACACGAAAGUGUGGGGAGCAAACAGG
RNAcentral lists this ribosomal RNA (405 nucleotides) under uncultured prokaryote. RNAcentral describes it as "bacterial SSU rRNA". It matches the Rfam family "Bacterial small subunit ribosomal RNA", at positions 355 to 776 of the family's 1533-position model. RNAcentral also lists the same sequence under 1 other name. The record is from RNAcentral.